Ailuropoda melanoleuca (giant panda) is the source of this 1701-nucleotide long non-coding RNA. RefSeq lists it as uncharacterized. Lineage: Eukaryota; Metazoa; Chordata; Mammalia; Carnivora; Ursidae. The transcript has 6 exons. The record is from RefSeq and is a predicted model, not a curated record.
GGUCCUGCCUGGGCCUCUGCACACUCAGACCAACAGUAAAAACUGCCAUGAUUUGCACUGAUAACCCCAGGAUGCCUCGCUUAUCUGUCAUCGGGGUUUGUCCACAGAGAAUGCUGCCAAAAGGGCCACUUCCUGAACACUGCCUGCCUAGGAGGGAAUCUGAUGGCCUUUUUUUCUUCAUCUCCAUUGUGAUGGAAAACAAGGGGGAGGAGAAGGAGCCAGAGAUGGUAGCAGAGGCUGCAGAGGGAAGUGAUCAGCUCCCGGCUCAAGCAAGGGGCAGAUCCUCAGCUACAUCCCAUGGGGGCGUUGGCCUGUCGUGGUCGGAUGGCCUUCCGUGUUGCAGACCUUCUGCAGCAUCUGAGCAGCAGAAGUGGAAGAGGAGGGGUGAAGGAUGGACGGGAAAACAGGUGUGAUUUGAGCAAACAUGAAGACCCAAGACAAAAAGCCCAGGGUGGACUGAUUGACGGCUGAUCCAUGACGUAUUUUUCUGGGCACGUUCCAGUGCAACCCUUGCCUCACCUAAACAGUUAAGCUGCACAGCAAUCCUGCAACCUGUAAUCUCCAAAAGAACAUGGACUUUGCCUUUUUGUCACUGUGUCUCCAUCACCUCGCCCAGAUACCCACGUUCAAGCUCGGAGGAGCCCCUGUAUUGUGUGACUCCUUUUCCCCAAUGCACACCCACCAUCCUCGCUGGUACUGCAGUAGAUUGGACCAUGGAUGGACGUUGGAUCCAAAUGGAAUUAAUUCAAAGGAGACCAUAACUGCUGUGAAUAAUGCGAAUCAAGUAUGUCUGCAGACAAGAGAAUGAAGCAAAUUCAGAGGAAAGCAGAUGACAGACUGAGCUGCUCCAGGGAGGCAGAGAGGAGACGUCUUCUCCCUGGUGGCUCCCAGUUUCAAGCUCAGUUCCCUUGAGAACUGGCUGAAAUUCAUCUCAAUGGCAUCUCAAUAUUUUUACAAACUUUAUUUAAGCUUGCUUGAAUUUCCUUUCCUUGCAAACAACAAAGUUUCGACUGAAGGUGUACUCCUUAUAUUACUACACUUAAGGGGCUCCCUUGGAAAGAGGCAUUGGUCUCUCCAUUUGAGGCCUGGCCCAAGGUCACAAUGAAGUCCAUGCCUAAUGGCCUCUAUGGCUGGAAUGGCCCCUUCCUGAGUCAGGUGCUGCAUCAGAAAACCAAACCUCCCCUCAUCUCCGGGAGGUCUGUGUUCAGACUAAAUGCUCAAUGAUACUUGAAAAGAGAGUUUGGGGACUUAAGCUUUAAAAAAACAAACCCAAACUCUGGUUUCAGUGUGAGUUAUCGAUGACAAGUACAUUACAGCAACUUGCUUUGGCUUCUAAUUUGAAGGAUCCCAGUUUUAGGAAUAGUUUGUUUUCCUCGUUGGGAGACAAACACAUUUUUGAAAACAAGUUCCAGUCUGAACACCCCUUAGGAAGGGACUGUUUAUUUGGCAAAGCAGUGUGUCCCCACAUGGGAAAUUAUACAUAAAGAGAAGCACCAGACUGUAGAAAAGAAAAAAGUUUUAAUUUUCUCUAAGGUUGUGACCUGCUUGAGGGAACAGGUUCUUCCCCACAUACUUGGUUUGAUGGCCACAGAAAGUACAUAUUGUGAGACAGGAAACCAUCAAAAUCCUAGAGGAGAACAGAGGCAGAAACCUCUUUGACCUCGGCCUCAGCAACUUCUUAUUAGACACGUCGCCAGAGGC